Molecule: ribosomal RNA, 468 nt
Filed under: uncultured bacterium
Lineage: Bacteria
Description: partial 16S ribosomal RNA
Rfam family: Bacterial small subunit ribosomal RNA
Source: RNAcentral
GACGAACGCUGGCGGCGUGCUUAACACAUGCAAGUCGAACGGAAAGGCCCUGCUUUUGUGGGGUGCUCGAGUGGCGAACGGGUGAGUAACACGUGAGUAACCUGCCCUUGACUUUGGGAUAACUUCAGGAAACUGGGGCUAAUACCGGAUAGGAGCUCCUGCUGCAUGGUGGGGGUUGGAAAGUUGCGGCGGUUGGGGAUGGACUCGCGGCUUAUCAGCUUGUUGGUGGGGUAGUGGCUUACCAAGGCUUGGACGGGUAGCCGGCCUGAGAGGGUGACCGGCCACAUUGGGACUGAGAUACGGCCCGGCCUCCUGCGGGGGUCCGACGUGGCGCCUCUUGCCCCCUGGGCGGCCGCUUGCUGCCGCCCCGCCGCGUGCGGGAUGACGGCCUUCGGGUUGUACCCCGCUUUCGCCUGUGCCGCCGCGUGCGUGCCGGUCCUGGUUCCCGCCGCCCCGGCUCCCUCCGUG